GCGGGUGUGGUGAAAUUGGUAGACACGCCAGACUUAGGAUCUGGUGCCUUCGGUGUGUAGGUUCGAGUCCUAUCACCCGCACAA
Molecule: transfer RNA, 84 nt
Filed under: Flavobacterium sp.
Lineage: Bacteria; Pseudomonadati; Bacteroidota; Flavobacteriia; Flavobacteriales; Flavobacteriaceae
Also listed under: 1 other name
Description: tRNA-Leu
Rfam family: tRNA
About the family: Transfer RNA (tRNA) molecules are approximately 80 nucleotides in length.
Source: RNAcentral